Molecule: transfer RNA, 74 nt
Filed under: Amblyraja hyperborea (Arctic skate)
Lineage: Eukaryota; Metazoa; Chordata; Chondrichthyes; Rajiformes; Rajidae
Also listed under: 1 other name
Description: tRNA-Thr
Rfam family: tRNA
About the family: Transfer RNA (tRNA) molecules are approximately 80 nucleotides in length. Their secondary structure includes four short double-helical elements and three loops (D, anti-codon, and T loops). Further hydrogen bonds mediate the characteristic L-shaped molecular structure. tRNAs have two regions of fundamental functional importance: the anti-codon, which is responsible for specific mRNA codon recognition, and the 3' end, to which the tRNAs corresponding amino acid is attached (by aminoacyl-tRNA synthetases). tRNAs cope with the degeneracy of the genetic code in two manners: having more than one tRNA (with a specific anti-codon) for a particular amino acid; and 'wobble' base-pairing, i.e. permitting non-standard base-pairing at the 3rd anti-codon position.
Source: RNAcentral
GUUAUGGUAGCCUAAAAAUUUAAGGCGUUGGUCUUGUAAACCAAAAAUUGGAGGUGGGAUACCUCCCCAAAACA